AGCGAACGCUGGCGGCAGGCUUAACACAUGCAAGUCGAACGGGCGUAGCAAUACGUCAGUGGCAGACGGGUGAGUAACGCGUGGGAACGUACCUUUUGGUUCGGAACAACCCAGGGAAACUUGGGCUAAUACCGGAUAAGCCCUUACGGGGAAAGAUUUAUCGCCGAAAGAUCGGCCCGCGUCUGAUUAGCUAGUUGGUGUGGUAACGGCGCACCAAGGCGACGAUCAGUAGCUGGUCUGAGAGGAUGAUCAGCCACAUUGGGACUGAGACACGGCCAAACUCCUACGGGAGGCAGCAGUGGGGAAUAUUGGACAAUGGGCGCAAGCCUGAUCCAGCCAUGCCGCGUGAGUGAU
This 354-nucleotide ribosomal RNA is filed under the name uncultured bacterium. RNAcentral describes it as "bacterial SSU rRNA". It matches the Rfam family "Bacterial small subunit ribosomal RNA", at positions 29 to 409 of the family's 1533-position model. The record is from RNAcentral.